Molecule: long non-coding RNA, 1038 nt
Organism: Camelina sativa (false flax)
Lineage: Eukaryota; Viridiplantae; Streptophyta; Magnoliopsida; Brassicales; Brassicaceae
Source: RefSeq, a predicted model, not a curated record
UUUUGAUUCGUGGACGCAAAAAUACAAAAAGGAAUUGUUUUUUUUCUUUCUUCUCUCUUCUUGCUCGAUCCUCUCUCUUCUAUGUCGAUCCAGACGGCGAAUCGAAGGCGAUUCAGAAAAAUCAAUCCAUAGUUCCAGACCCAAUUCAUCUUUGAGCUUUGUCAUCCAUUCCUUCAAAUUCUUCAUCGGAAUAUCCACUCCGAUCUAAAAACCGCCUUUCGUCUUCUUCUUCGCGUUGCCCUCUCUCGUCGUCGGCGGCAGAUUAAAAUCGCCCUUCAAUUCUACAGUUGCAAGAACAUGCUCUUUCAAAACCAAAUUCGAGCCUUCUCACAACUAAAUUUUGUUCCUUUAUUGAUUCUCUGAAAUCAGUCUCUGUUAUUUUUGUACUUUUUGCUUUCCAAUGAUGGGAAGAGUAGACAAUUUGCUUUUAUUUGAUAUCGUAGUGCUGAAGAAGCUCAAGAAGCUAUCAAGUAUUUCAACAAGUCUUUUCUUGAUACUUCUCGUAUAUAUGUGAUGAUGUUUAAAGGUGGUCGCCUUUUCGUGAUGAUGACAAUGAUGAUGUUCUUGACACUGAUCGCCUUUUCGUCCGUAACCUGCCUUACAUUGCAACAGAAGAAGAGCUUAUGGAACAUUUAAGCAAAUUUGGUGAGAUAUCAGAAGUCCAUCUUGUUCUUGACAAGGAGACGAAAAGGUCCAAAGGAAUUGCCUACAUCCUUUACCCGAUUCCGGAAUGUGCGGCAAGGGCAAUGGAGGAAUUAGAUAACUCAAUUUUCCAGGGCCGGUUGUUGCAUAUUUUUCCAGCCAAGCACCGUGAAACGUCUGAUAAACAAGUGAAUGACACUUCUAACCUGCCAAAAACAUUCAAGCAAAAGAGAGAGGAACAAAAAAAAGGCAUCGGAAGCUGGUGGAAAUACAAAGGCUUGGAAUAGUUUAUUCAUGCGACCCGAUACUAUUCUAGAAAACAUAGUCAGGGUGUAUGGUGUAAGCAAAACUGAGUUACUUGACCGUGAAGCUGAAGUUCCUUUUCUGUUUUUAUUG